GACGAACGCUGGCGGCGUGCUUAACACAUGCAAGUCGAACGCUGAAGCUCAGCUUUUGUUGGGUGGAUGAGUGGCGAACGGGUGAGUAACACGUGAGUAACCUGCCCCCUUCUUUGGGAUAACGCCCGGAAACGGGUGCUAAUACUGGAUAUUCACUGGUCUUCGCAUGGGGGUUGGUGGAAAGGGUUUUUUUGGUGGGGGAUGGGCUCGCGGCCUAUCAGCUUGUUGGUGGGGUGAUGGCCUACCAAGGCUUUGACGGGUAGCCGGCCUGAGAGGGUGACCGGUCACAUUGGGACUGAGAUACGGCCCAGACUCCUACGGGAGGCAGCAGUGGGGAAUAUUGCACAAUGGGCGCAAGCCUGAUGCAGCGACGCCGCGUGAGGGAUGGAGGCCUUCGGGUUGUGAACCUCUUUCGCUCAUGGUCAAGCCGCAACAAUGGUUGUGGUGAGGGUAGUGGGUAAAGAAGCGCCGGCUAACUACGUG
RNAcentral lists this ribosomal RNA (483 nucleotides) under uncultured bacterium. RNAcentral's name for it is "partial 16S ribosomal RNA". It matches the Rfam family "Bacterial small subunit ribosomal RNA", at positions 28 to 507 of the family's 1533-position model. The record is from RNAcentral.